UUGAAAGGGAAACGAUUGAAGUCAGUCGUACCAGCGGGAAAUCAACCUUUCGAGUGGGGUUUUGGAGUUUUGAAGAGUGUCAAAACCUUUGAGAUUUCAAAAUUUUCGCUCCUUUGGUGUACUUUCUCGUGGGUAGGUUAACAUCGAUUUCGAUCAUCAUAAAAGGAUCGGAGGAAUGUAGCUUCGGCUUCGGUUGAAGUGUUAUAGCCUUUGGUAAAUGUGGUGAUUAGGACCGAGGAUUGCAACGAAUACCUUUUAGGCUAUCCGUCUGACCUCUGAAAGUUACUUAGGUGCCGAAAGCUUGCUUACGGUCAUUUAAGUUGACGGUCAAUAGGUUAGAACGUGAUUACAUUCGUUAAGGAUGUUGACGUA
This 372-nucleotide ribosomal RNA is filed under the name uncultured Glomeromycotina. RNAcentral describes it as "LSU rRNA". The record is from RNAcentral. Lineage: Eukaryota; Fungi; Glomeromycota.